Molecule: ribosomal RNA, 104 nt
Filed under: Caerostris extrusa
Lineage: Eukaryota; Metazoa; Arthropoda; Arachnida; Araneae; Araneidae
Source: RNAcentral
ACGGCCAUACCAUGCUGAAUAUACCGGUUCUCGUUAGAUCACAGAAGUCAAGCAUCAUUGGGCGCGGUCAGUACUUGGGUGGGUGACCACCUGGGAAACCAGUU